GUUAGCUCAGUUGGUUGUAAAAGUUGACUUUUAAUCAAUUGGUCGCAGGUUCGAAUCCUGCAC
Molecule: transfer RNA, 63 nt
Filed under: Escherichia coli
Lineage: Bacteria; Pseudomonadati; Pseudomonadota; Gammaproteobacteria; Enterobacterales; Enterobacteriaceae
Description: tRNA-Lys
Rfam family: tRNA
About the family: Transfer RNA (tRNA) molecules are approximately 80 nucleotides in length. Their secondary structure includes four short double-helical elements and three loops (D, anti-codon, and T loops). Further hydrogen bonds mediate the characteristic L-shaped molecular structure. tRNAs have two regions of fundamental functional importance: the anti-codon, which is responsible for specific mRNA codon recognition, and the 3' end, to which the tRNAs corresponding amino acid is attached (by aminoacyl-tRNA synthetases). tRNAs cope with the degeneracy of the genetic code in two manners: having more than one tRNA (with a specific anti-codon) for a particular amino acid; and 'wobble' base-pairing, i.e. permitting non-standard base-pairing at the 3rd anti-codon position.
Source: RNAcentral